This 421-nucleotide ribosomal RNA is filed under the name uncultured bacterium. RNAcentral describes it as "bacterial SSU rRNA". It matches the Rfam family "Bacterial small subunit ribosomal RNA", at positions 99 to 507 of the family's 1533-position model. The record is from RNAcentral.
CGGACGGGUGAGUAACACGUGAAGAACCUGGCCUUACAGAGGGGGGACAACAGCUGGAAACGGCUGCUAAUACCGCAUAACGCUAGAGUGUGGCAUCACAUUUUAGCCAAAAGAGCAAUCUGCUGUAAGAUGGCUUCGCGUCCGAUUAGACAGUUGGCGGGGUAACGGCCCACCAAAUCUACGAUCGGUAGCCGGACUGAGAGGUUGAACGGCCACACUGGAACUGAGACACGGUCCAGACUCCUACGGGAGGCAGCAGUGGGGGAAUCUUCCGCAAUGGGCGAAAGCCUGACGGAGCAACGCCGCGUGAGUGAUGACGGCCUUCGGGUUGUAAAACUCUGUGAUCCGGGACGAAAAGGCAGAGUGCGAAGAACAAACUGCAUUGACGGUACCGGAAAAGCAAGCCACGGCUAACUACGUG